Rana temporaria (common frog) is the source of this 220-nucleotide long non-coding RNA. RefSeq lists it as uncharacterized. The transcript has 3 exons. The record is from RefSeq and is a predicted model, not a curated record. NCBI's taxonomy places the organism in Eukaryota, Metazoa, Chordata, Amphibia, Anura, Ranidae.
CCACACAGGAAGGUCACACCAUCACUCACUGUUACAAGGGUAAAGAACUGAUAAAUAUAAAAGUUGAGGUUAAAGCAGAAGAAGAAGAGGCUUAUGUGAGCGAUGAUCAGCAGUCUAUGGAGGAGGAUGGAAUAAUGAGGCUAAUUCUAGAGGAAGACACACCUACAAAGAUCAGCACAGUAGAUGGACGGGAGAUGAGGAAAACCUCAGAGGAUUGUCU